This 492-nucleotide ribosomal RNA is filed under the name uncultured bacterium. RNAcentral's name for it is "partial 16S ribosomal RNA". It matches the Rfam family "Bacterial small subunit ribosomal RNA", at positions 29 to 507 of the family's 1533-position model. The record is from RNAcentral.
AGUGAACGCUGGCGGUAGGCCUAACACAUGCAAGUCGAACGGCAGCACAGUAAGAGCUUGCUCUUACGGGUGGCGAGUGGCGGACGGGUGAGGAAUACAUCGGAAUCUACUUUUUCUUGGGGGAUAUCGUAGGGAAACUUACGCUAAUACCGCAUACGACCUACGGGUGAAAGCAGGGGAUCUUCGGACCUUGCGCGAUUGCAUGAGCCGAUGUCGGAUUAGCUAGUUGGCGGGGUAAAGGCCCACCAAGGCGACGAUCCGUAGCUGGUCUGAGAGGAUGAUCAGCCACACUGGAACUGAGACACGGUCCAGACUCCUACGGGAGGCAGCAGUGGGGAAUAUUGGACAAUGGGCGCAAGCCUGAUCCAGCCAUACCGCGUGGGUGAAGAAGGCCUUCGGGUUGUAAAGCCCUUUUGUUGGGAAAGAAAAGCAGCAGGUUAAUACCCCGCUGUUCUGACGGUACCCAAAGAAUAAGCACCGGCUAACUUCGUG